CUGAAGUGAGCACUUCAGAGCUGUAGGUGAAACUGUGUUUCUUCUUCUUCCUCUUCGACUUUGGCCCAUAACUUCCAUUUUGUGCACUUUUAUCCUCCAUUUAGCCCCAUAACUUUUGAUUGUGCAUUCCAGCCCCUGAAUAUGCAAUAUGUACAAAUACAACACCUAAUGACUCCUAAAUGCAAUCUUUAGACUCUAAAAUGACCAAAAUCAAUAGCUAAAAACAUGUAAAAACACUAUACAUCAACUCCCCCAAACUUGAUUCUUUACUUGUCCUCAAAUAAACUUUCAAGAAGAGUAAGAGAAAGAGGUUGAAAAUAGAGGAUAUAGAACAACAAAAUUCACAUUCAAGAUUCAACCCAAUGUCCUUCAACGUAGUUAUAAAUUGCAUCACCUAAACAAUCUAUCAAAUAUGAUUUAUCUUGGCAACACAACACCAAAUAUGAUUGAACUCAAGCAAUAACCUCAAAGCAACUCCCUACAUUCAUUUAGAUAUUAAGUGCAGUCUUGCAAAGGGAUUAUCAGUCAUUCUCAUUUGGUUAGGUUCAAAGGCUUUUGUGGGUGGUUCAUGGUUUUUGGUGACUUUCUCUCAAACAAGGAGCAAUUGACAUUACACAAAAUUUAUUUAAGAAAGAGAACAAUUCAUGCAUACAACAAUUGAUUCUCAUUGUUCUACCCAAUCCUAAGAUAUAUGCAAGUUCUACCCUUU
RNAcentral lists this long non-coding RNA (709 nucleotides) under Brassica napus (rape). RNAcentral's name for it is "long non-coding RNA (BNAP_LNC023364)". The record is from RNAcentral. Lineage: Eukaryota; Viridiplantae; Streptophyta; Magnoliopsida; Brassicales; Brassicaceae.